UUUCUGGAAGUAAAAAAUCGUAACAAGGUCUCCGUAGGUGAACCUGCGGAGGGAUCAUUACACAAAUAUGAAGGCGGGCUGGAACCUCUCGGGGUUACAGCCUUGCUGAAUUAUUCACCCUUGUCUUUUGCGUACUUCUUGUUUCCUUGGUGGGUUCGCCCACCACUAGGACAAACAUAAACCUUUUGUAAUUGCAAUCAGCGUCAGUAACAAAUUAAUAAUUACAACUUUCAACAACGGAUCUCUUGGUUCUGGCAUCGAUGAAGAACGCAGCGAAAUGCGAUAAGUAGUGUGAAUUGCAGAAUUCAGUGAAUCAUCGAAUCUUUGAACGCACAUUGCGCCCUUUGGUAUUCCAAAGGGCAUGCCUGUUCGAGCGUCAUUUGUACCCUCAAGCUUUGCUUGGUGUUGGGCGUCUUGUCUCUAGCUUUGCUGGAGACUCGCCUUAAAGUAAUUGGCAGCCGGCCUACUGGUUUCGGAGCGCAGCACAAGUCGCACUCUCUAUCAGCAAAGGUCUAGCAUCCAUUAAGCCUUUUUUUCAACUUUGACCUCGGAUCAGUAGGAUCCCAGG
Molecule: ribosomal RNA, 568 nt
Filed under: Alternaria sp. WSN16
Lineage: Eukaryota; Fungi; Ascomycota; Dothideomycetes; Pleosporales; Pleosporaceae
Description: eukaryotic LSU rRNA
Rfam family: 5.8S ribosomal RNA (bases 226-379)
Source: RNAcentral